Molecule: non-coding RNA, 28 nt
Filed under: Rattus norvegicus (Norway rat)
Lineage: Eukaryota; Metazoa; Chordata; Mammalia; Rodentia; Muridae
Source: RNAcentral
UGCCGGAUCCCAGUCACUGCUCUGUGCA